This 274-nucleotide ribosomal RNA is filed under the name uncultured bacterium. Its description in RNAcentral is "partial 16S ribosomal RNA". It matches the Rfam family "Bacterial small subunit ribosomal RNA", at positions 523 to 796 of the family's 1533-position model. The record is from RNAcentral.
AUACGGAGGGGGCUAGCGUUGUUCGGAAUUACUGGGCGUAAAGCGCGCGUAGGCGGACCGUUAAGUCGGGGGUGAAAUCCCGGGGCUCAACCCCGGAACUGCCUUCGAUACUGGCAGUCUAGAGAUCGAGAGAGGCGAGUGGAAUUCCGAGUGUAGAGGUGAAAUUCGUAGAUAUUCGGAGGAACACCAGUGGCGAAGGCGGCUCGCUGGCUCGAACCUGACGCUGAGGCGCGAAAGUGUGGGGAGCAAACAGGAUUAGAAACCCCGGUAGUCC